This 339-nucleotide unclassified non-coding RNA is filed under the name fungal sp. RNAcentral's name for it is "partial internal transcribed spacer region". The stretch from base 1 to 46 matches the Rfam family "Eukaryotic small subunit ribosomal RNA", at positions 1786 to 1831 of the family's 1831-position model. The record is from RNAcentral. Lineage: Eukaryota; Fungi.
AAGUCGUAACAAGGUUUCCGUAGGUGAACCUGCGGAAGGAUCAUUACCAAAUCCAAAUUACCAUAACCCCAUGUGAACGAUUAUAAAAGUCUGUCUUUGGGAGGAUAAACCGACAUAAUGUUAGAUUAUUCUCUCAUUUUGUAGUCUUUAUCCUCCCAAAAGAGUCCGGCACAUUUUUUUUAUGUAGACGGGUGUAGAAUUAAUUUCUUACCCCUUUUAUAUAAACUAUAUGUGUUUAAGAUUCUAUAAACCUUUAAACCACUUGAUUCUUUGUUGGAAUUUACUUUUAUUAAUUUUUAAAUAAAAGACAACUUUUAACGGCGGAUCUCUUGGCUCGUG